ACGGUUAUAAAUCAACAUAUUGAUUUAUAAGCAUGGAAAUCCCCUGAGUGAAACAACGAAUUGCUGUGUGUAGUCUUUGCCCAUCUCCCACGAUGG
This 96-nucleotide non-coding RNA is filed under the name Escherichia coli. RNAcentral describes it as "partial antisense sRNA RprA". It matches the Rfam family "RprA RNA", at positions 1 to 96 of the family's 108-position model. From Rfam's summary of the family: Translational regulation of the stationary phase sigma factor RpoS is mediated by the formation of a double-stranded RNA stem-loop structure in the upstream region of the rpoS messenger RNA, occluding the translation initiation site. The record is from RNAcentral. Lineage: Bacteria; Pseudomonadati; Pseudomonadota; Gammaproteobacteria; Enterobacterales; Enterobacteriaceae. RNAcentral also lists the same sequence under 1 other name.